Molecule: long non-coding RNA, 4061 nt
Filed under: Nicotiana benthamiana
Lineage: Eukaryota; Viridiplantae; Streptophyta; Magnoliopsida; Solanales; Solanaceae
Description: long non-coding RNA (NBEN_LNC025617)
Source: RNAcentral
UCUGCUCUAUUUUUCACCAUCACAAUAAUCAGACCUCCGCCAUCUCAAGAAAAAAGGUACCGUUUUUGGAAUUCUUCUUCUCCAUUCUUUGCAAAGACCAGAUCCUCUCACAAAAAAACAAAAAUGGGACUUCUUCCUCCUCUCUCACUCAUGCAACAAAAUGCACAACUCAUUCCUUUAAAAUCAGAAAUCACGAAAGCAUAUUCUCAGUUAAAAAAUGUGAAUCUCAUAGCAGAAAAAAUAAAAACAAAUAGAAGAAAAUUAUGUUCUUCUCCACUUCAAAUUUUAGCUGAAAAAUAGAUUUCUCUUUAAAUGUUGGAAUUGGGUUCGAAUCUGACGAAGGUGUAGGCUGAAAUUAAUUCGUAUGUCCGUCCGAGUUUUUUAUUAAAGUUAAGUUCCGGCUAUUUAAGAUCUGGGAUUAGUUGUAAUCCAGCGAUGUCGUGCCUUCUUCUUCUUUACUCAAGGCACAUGGAAUUCUCACUUAAAAAAAUGAAUUGAGAUUUAAAAUAAGAAGCUCUCUAUUUAUUUCUGGGUUUUCAAGAAGAAUUCUAGAUUCAAAUGGUUGUUCCAUUCUGCUAUUGUACUUUUGAUUUGCAGAGCUUCAUUUCCAAGUUUGCUUGUUCGCUUAUCAAUUUACUGGUUCCAGAACUCAAAUUUCAGAUUUAAUGCAAAUGGUAUAUUCCUUGUGGGCUUUGUUUGGUAUGAAUGUUAUUAUGUUAUUUUGUGUAAAAUCGUUUUGUGGAUCUAUUGGUGGUUUAAUAUUUCUUGUUAGUUUUUGUGGCUUCUAAGCCUGUUAGUUACACGCACACUUCUAGUCUCACAAAGAUCAGAUAUAAUGGUUGCAUUGGUGCUGCUCACUAAUGUUCUUGAGUAGUCCAUAUCAGCACUUUGCUGCAUCUUGAAUGUCUUUAUUAUUUGAAUGAUAAGUGCAGAACAUUGUAAACUAAGGCUAAGCAUUCCUGUUUCAGUAGCCUAAUGUAGGUUGAAUUUUCAGGCCAUUAUUCAAGCCUUGAUCUUUGUUUAAAUUCAUUUUAGUUCAUUGAUUAUGAGGAUUUGCCCCAUUUUACCUAGUAUAUACUUUUGUUGUUGGACUGGUGAUUAGUAUUGUUCUUUCAAAAUAGCAUGAGAUGAUUGCUAUUAAAAAGUUAGAAACAAUGCAAGAAAGGUAAUAAUAAUGUCAAACUUCCUCAGCUAUAAAUGUUUAUAUUAUCUCACGAUAUUGGAGAUUAACUUUUACCUACAUCUCUCCAUCCUCCUCUCCCUCUCUCGUGAUGUGUGCACAAAAGGAAACAUGGAAUAAAAAUUAUCUUUUCAUAAAUAAUCUUGGCAAAAAUCAUCUAGUUGUGAGGUCUUCUACAUGUUAAAUGUUUUUCUGGUUCCAAAACAUUCAUAUUAUUCAAGUGGCUUGCAUAGUCUGGUCUAAGCUAGCUCGCACUCCAUGGAGUUUGCAAAGUGGUGAGCAUCAGUAUGUUGGAGAAACAUAUCUGUGUAGUAGAACAACUUGAUAUAGUAACUGUAUUAUGGCUGCUAUACGACGCUGGUUUUGUGAGCACGUAUAUGAAUCAUUCCCACAAAAAUCAAACAAAUGAUUUUACUUUAUUUUUACAAUUUUUGUGCAUUUUUGUCAUUUUUCAAUAAUUGUUGCAUUUUAUUUUGUGCAUUUUAAUUUAAAAUAAAUACAAAAAAUAUGCAUUUCGCAUUUAAAAUUUAAUUUCAUAUUUCAGGAUUAAUUAGGGGUUAGUUUGUUAUAGAACAAAACAUGAAAAUCACAAAAAUAGCCAUUUUGGCGCUUUAGUUGUUAAUUGUUUAGUUUGUCUUGAAAUAGAUUUUUAAAUUUUUUUAGGAAUUAAUUAGUUUAAUUUUGGAAAUAAUUAUAUUUUUAUCCUUAUUUUGUGUAUUGUGUAUAAAAAUCAGAAAAUUUGAAAAUGUAUAUAAAGGUAAAAAUCAAGCAAAAGGAAAUAAGAAGAAGUUAAUUAAAAAGAAAGAGAAGAGAGGGCCAAUUGGGUCAGAUUCCCCCAGCCCAAAAAUACUCAAAAUCGAGCCUAGGCUGCUCCAGGCCUAAAUGCACCCAAACCCGGUUCCCCCACUCGAACUAAGCGACGGCGUUUUGCUCAGAUAAUCAAAGCUAUUAGAUCUUGAUCCAAUGAACGAGGGCGUCCUAGGAUUUUCCCUAUAAAACUGUCAGAACGAGCCGCCGGUGGCAGCGCCACCCCCAAACCCAACAAAAAUUACACAACAGCUCCCCCUCCUCUCCCUCAUCACUAAUCCCCACUUGAAAUUCCUCGAAUCAUAAUUCAACUCCUCUAAUCUAUGGUUUUAUUUUUUUGGCCAAACAUGAACUUCAUCCAAACAAGCUCAAAUUAAUACCUGAUAGUCUAUAGACCGUGUCCAUCUCGAGUCUGGGGGUUGUAUCUCUUUGAAUCGCAACAGGAUGCAUCCAAUCUCACAUCUAGGGUUCAUGCGUUCCGGGCUGUUCGUGGAUUUUUGCGAGUCGAGUUAACCCGGGUCAAUAUUAUACAUUUAUUUGUUAUAAAAUGAAUGUAUAAUAUUAACAUGAGUUUAAUUUCGAAGGGUUUUCUCACGAAGUUCGAAUUUCAGUAAGUUUUCCUAUCUUUCUUUUCUUUAGUUUUUAAUUUGAUUCAUCGUUCUAACUAGUCGAUUUAGCACCAUUGUAAUUACUAGUUUAAUCUACGUUUGUCUUAGAAUUUUGAAUAAUUAUUUAGGGUUAAUUUUCAUUUCUCUUUGUUGAUUUUUUUUUUGAUGGUUGGUCGUCCAGCGGUACACAGUUUAAAUUUCUUUUAAUUUAUUCAUAUUGGUUUAGAUCUGUUUUGUUCUUCUAGAGCUGAAUUGGAUUGAUUUAUUUAUUGGUUCUAUUUAUUAGCCAUUAAUCCAAUGAUAGUGUCAGUUAGUUUUGAUUAGAGUUAAAUUUUAGUUUACUGAUUGGUUCUAGGUGAUAUCGAUUCACUUGGGUUAACCUUAGUUAAUUUUUAGUAGGGGUAAAGAGGUUGGGUAUAGCUGACUUUAGUCUGUAAAUUUCAGAACAGUACAAGAGCUUUUUAGGCAUAGGAAAUGGUAGAAUCUUUUUAAAAUAGUAAAUUUAAAACAGGGGUAAAGUAGUGUAGGCAUUGUAUAGCUAAAAGAACCUUCCAAGACAUACCAAAUGGGGCAUUAGUGUAAGUUUUAACAAUUUUGGUAGUAGUUACUUGAGGAAAAAGUUAGAAAAAGAAGGGUUAAAAUAAAAAUGGGUAGGGACUGAUUUUGAAAACCUUUUGGCUGAUUUUUCUUUCUUCUUUACCUAUAUAAAGGCAUCAAAUGCCUUGAGGUAUGGGUCUUCUUUUUCAACAAUUAUUAACUUCCAAAACACUCUUUCUAUUUGAAUUUUUAGAUAUGCAGUAACUUUCAAACUUAAAAAAAAAAGAACAAAAAUCCAAUAAAAAUAAAAAAUAUACAACAAAAUCCAAACAAAGUACUGUUACAUUGCUCCUUUUGGUUAAGUUUUAAAAUAAGAAUAGGUUUUUCAGCUCAUUUAGUUCAUCACUGAUCCUUAAAGCUCACAGUUCCAAUUUCGAGCUUGAUUAGCAUUAUUUGGGUUAUAGUUGGUUUUUUAGAGGUUCUGAACUCGAUUUCUAGACUUUCUGAGUUCGUUCAAGUUGUUUGUGUUGAGUUUCCUGGUGAUGUUGGGUUUCACUGAUUCCUGAGUCUGAGUUAUCUUUUGGGUUGUUUUCUGCUGGUUUGGUGUUGCUAUCGACGUGCCUACUGUUGCUGACUUCCUCAUCCCAUUCUAUUUUCGUUAUUCAGGUACACAAUCAAACUCAAUUUGGUGUAAUUCUGAGAUGAACACAUGAGAUGAAAUGGAGCUAGAUUUCUGCAAAUAAAUUCAGUUAUUCUGUCGAUUUGAUCAUAGUCUUCUGAGUGCUAUUGGUUGUUCCUGUAAUAAUUAGACUGAUAACUGCAAUUGUUUACAUAAAUGAGUAGUAAACGUUUGGAAAUGCUAUGAGUUUAGCCUGUGAUAGUCUAGGUUAGACCACUGGAAUUUCCAUCAGUUAAAUGAUCAUUAUUAU